CAGAAUGAAAAAUAUUUUACUUAAGAAUUAUGACUAAAAUCACCAACAAUCCGUUCUUUCUUCAUUUUUGAAGAGAUAUUCUUGUGUUCAUGUAAAACUUUCCUAAAAAAGUUAAACGUGCCUCAACCUUGAACCAAUAACAAAUUGCUUUGUAAGAAUAUACGAUACAUGUUAAAAAAAUUUUUUGAUUAUUGUUACUAAUUUUGGUAUUAAAAUUCUUUUUAAUAAGACUUAAUUAAUAAUCUUGAGUUCAAGUAAUAAAAAACUGACAUUUUCUAUUAUCAACUUCUCUCUUUUUAAUUAGAUAUUGUUUUGAUAUAAUCUUGAAUGGAAUAAGAUUAAUAGAUUUUUAUAAAAUUUUAAUCACCUCAAAGAUAAUUAGAACCAACUAAUAUUCACCAUAAUUAUAGCUUGAAAAAAUCAACACUUCUUAAUUAUUCAAAUGAAAUCUAUAGACCACAAUGAAAAGUAUUUUAGUUAAAAAUUAUUACCCAAAUUACCAACAAUCAGAUCUUUCUUUACUUUUGAACAGACCUUAUCAAAUCAAAGGUAACAUCCUAGGAAUCUUUCUCGAGAGAUGUCUAUGUCAGUACCAUGUUAUCAACUUGUAACUAGAGUAUCAAAGCAAAGAUAAAAUCCUAGGAAUCUUUCUCCACCACAUAAGUAAAACCAGAAUGAAACUUCAAUACCUAUGAAAAAUGAAUUUUAUAUAAUGCAAUCUGCAAAUAAUGGGAAAUUAAAACAAUAAGGAUCACACUUCAAAAUAUAUGAUGCUGCAAACCGAACGAAGGCCCACAAAUGGCAAAAUCACACUAAUAGGUAAUGGAUCCAGCAAGAGCAUAAUUUUCGAGAAGCCAAUUCACAAAUAAAUUAGAAAUUUUUCUCUAGAAAAUUCAUUUAAACCUAUCAAUUAUGAAGAUUGACCCAGAUGAAAAUUAAAUAAAAAACACAAACUUUUAUCAAUCACGCAAAAGAGGCCAGCUAAAACUUCAAGACAUUUGAAAAACAAUAAAUUCUACACCCAAAAAAAGGACAAAUUUGAGACCAACCCACAACAAUUAAAAAUCAACUAAUCACUUUUUUUCUCAUCGAUAAUUUUCUUUCAACCUAAACCUAGAUUAGAAAAUCAUUAAGGAGGUUCAUUAAAGUCUUACUUUAAAACUUUACCAACUUCCUAAAAACAUAUGAAGAUAAGUGGAUUUUUGUCCUACCAUACCAAACAUAAGAUAACUUUUAUUACUAAAGGAAACAUGAGAGAG
RNAcentral lists this long non-coding RNA (1259 nucleotides) under Arachis ipaensis. RNAcentral describes it as "long non-coding RNA (AIPA_LNC002240)". Lineage: Eukaryota; Viridiplantae; Streptophyta; Magnoliopsida; Fabales; Fabaceae. The record is from RNAcentral.